RNAcentral lists this ribosomal RNA (498 nucleotides) under uncultured bacterium. RNAcentral's name for it is "partial 16S ribosomal RNA". It matches the Rfam family "Bacterial small subunit ribosomal RNA", at positions 30 to 523 of the family's 1533-position model. The record is from RNAcentral.
AUUGAACGCUGGCGGCAUGCCUUACACAUGCAAGUCGAACGGUAACAGGUCUUCGGAUGCUGACGAGUGGCGAACGGGUGAGUAAUACAUCGGAACGUGCCCGAUCGUGGGGGAUAACGCAGCGAAAGCUGUGCUAAUACCGCAUACGAUCUACGGAUGAAAGCGGGGGAUCUUCGGACCUCGCGCGGACGGAGCGGCCGGUGGCAGAUUAGGUAGUUGGUGGGGUAAAGGCUCACCAAGCCUGCGAUCUGUAGCUGGACUGAGAGGAAGACCAGCCAAACUGGGACUGGGACACGGCCCAGACUCAUACGGGAGGCAGCAGUGGGGAAUUUUGGACAAUGGGCGCAAGCCUGAUCCAGCCAUGCCGCGUGCAGGAUGAAGGCCUUCGGGUUGUAAACUGCUUUUGUACGGAACGAAAAGUCUCUUUCUAAUAAGGAGGGAUCAUGACGGUACCGUAAGAAUAAGCACCGGCUAACUACGUGCCAGCCGCCGCCGUAA